AUUGAACCCAGUGCCUCAUGCAUGCUAGGCAAGCGCUCCACCACUGAGCCACAACCCCAGCACUUAGGGCAUCUUUUGAUACACCAAAAUUCUAAAUGCUAUCAUAGUCAAAUAGAUUGCACUUUCCUCUGGUAUUUGCAUUUUUAAAUGUCUUGUUGAAGUUCUUCCAUAGCUUAGGUUCAUAAAAGAAUGUUCCCAUAUUUUCUCCUAAAAUUAACAAAAGCAGUUGGCUAUCCCAUGUGAAGGCCUUAGUCCAUGUGGCACUUAUCUUUGUGUUUGGUGUCAGGUGCAGAUCACAUUUCUUUUUUUUUUUUUUCAUAAGGAGCAACCAGAAGGGUCAGCACUGUUCAGCAAGCAGUUCUUUGCUCUUCAGUAACGCAGCUGCCUUUUACGACAUUCUGAUACAUGAUUUUGGGAGCCUCUAUUCUGUUCCUUUGCUCUGAUAAUACCUUUCUCAACCACCAUGCUUUCUUAAUUUCUGUGGUUUAUAAUUCAUCUCACUAGCUCAUGGGGCAGGCCUCCUCAUCUUAUUUUUCUUUUUGGGGGACUAUCUCAGUUUUUUUGCUCAUUGAUUAAAAAGAAAAAGUCUCUGUAGAAUUGGCUUGCAAAAUUCCCCAAGAGACAUUCCGGAAUUUGACUGGAAGAAUAAGGAAUCUAUAGAUCAUUAUGUGACACUGGUAAGUAACCAUUUUUUAUUCAUGUAUCUAAAAUAUUUUCCCAUUUUAAAGAUAUUCUUAAUGUUUUUUCAAUAAAGUUUAAAAUUUUUCUCAUUUUUAAUAAAGCUUACCCAUCUGUUUAUUAAAUUUGUUUUAAGGUAUGUUUAAAUUUGUUG
RNAcentral lists this long non-coding RNA (832 nucleotides) under Marmota monax (woodchuck). The record is from RNAcentral. Lineage: Eukaryota; Metazoa; Chordata; Mammalia; Rodentia; Sciuridae.